UCUGUAUUUGGAGUCUGUGUGUGUCUCUCUCGCCUGCUCUGUAUUUGGAGUCUGCGUGUGUCUCUCUCGCCCCGUGGAUUUGACUCCGGGUCCUCCGGUUUUUACCUCCACAUUUUAGAAUCGACGUUCACGCUUUUAGAGUUUCGCAGCCGCUAUGCAUUUCCAAAUGAUGACGACGAGGGCGACGGUGGUGGUGGCGGUGAUGGUGGUGGUAAGCCACUUUGUUGAGCUCUCGUUUGUGAUCCCAUCAGUGAGGCCUUACCUGGUGAAAUAAAAACGAGUUUAGUUGUUGUGGGGAGUGCGGCGCCUGGUGGAUCAACCUCCACCCCCCCCCCCCGAGCGAUGCCGAUUUUAUUUUUCGGGGUCCAGGUCGAAUUUCCGGCGUUGCUGCUGCUCUGUCAGCGCAAGCGGAAAGAUCCUCGGGGGGCCCCCACCAGCAGCACGCGGGGCGAAAUGGCGGAACCAGGUCACGUGGAACCAGGUCACACGGAACCAGGUCGUGUGGAACCAGGUCACGUGGAACCAGGUCACACUGAACCGUGUCACACGGAACCAGGUCACAUGGAAACGUGUCACACGGAACCAGGUCGCACCGCGCGUGACGCGGCACGUCGGGUGAAAGCGUCGGCCCCCUUUUAAAGUGGAGAGUUUAGCGAGUGAAUGAGAAUAAUAAAGUGCACACUGUGGCUUAUUUUUUUAAAUUGAAAGUGGGGUGCGUGACUGUGUAAAGUGUCGAUGUAAAUAAAGUGGACAAGGCAUGUCCUUGGUUUUUAAA
This is a non-coding RNA of Petromyzon marinus (sea lamprey), 775 nucleotides long. Lineage: Eukaryota; Metazoa; Chordata; Hyperoartia; Petromyzontiformes; Petromyzontidae. The record is from RefSeq and is a predicted model, not a curated record.